AAUGCCCGCAAGGGUGACCCAGCAACGCCGCGUGGAGGAUGAAGGCCGUAAGGUUGUAAACUCUGACAAGCAGGGAAGAACGGCUAUGGUAAAAGGCCAUAGAAUGACGGUACCUGCCUGAAGCCCCGGCUAACUACGUGCCAGCAGCCGCGGUAAUACGUAGGGGGCGAGCGUUGUCCGGAUUUACUGGGUGUAAAGGGUGCGUAGGCGGGCUAGUAAGUCAGUGGUUAAAAACCGUUGCUUAACAACGGGGGUGCCAUUGAUACUAUUAGUCUAGAGUUCGGUAGGGAGAGCUGGAAUUCCUGGUGUAGUGGUGAAAUACGCAGAUAUCAGGAGGAAUACCGGAGGCGAAGGCGAGCUCUUGGGCCGCUACUGACGCUGAGGCACGAAAGCGUGGGGAUCAAA
This 405-nucleotide ribosomal RNA is filed under the name uncultured bacterium. RNAcentral's name for it is "bacterial SSU rRNA". It matches the Rfam family "Bacterial small subunit ribosomal RNA", at positions 370 to 772 of the family's 1533-position model. The record is from RNAcentral.